UAUGUCUCUUUUCUCUCUGCUAAAAAGUUUUGGCUUUUAUUGUAUUUUCUGUUCGUUUUCUGGGAAAAUUUAAGGGAAAAAGUUUUGCUACUGACAUGGCAUAAUAUAUAUACUUCAAAUUUGUAAUCUCAGAAGCUAAUCAUGUAAGUCAGCGAUGAAAAAUAUGUGUCCUUUUGGUUUUCAGAAUGCAAAUUUAAGUCUGUUCUAAUUAUUAUUUUGCAGUUUUGGAGAGUUCAUGCAUUGAUUUCCACUUUGGUUAGGGAUUUAUUAUCCUAUUGAUGCUAGAAUCAAGGAAUUUUCAAUAACUUUAUCAGAUCAAAGUAACUUUUAUUACUAAACUAGAAAAGUUUAUGCUGUUUGAUCUACAGUUUCACGUGUUGUUUUAAUUGCCCUUUUGGCUGCAACAUUGUUAGAACAUUUUGCAAAAUGUUAUCAAACUAGGUGCUGCUGUGCCUGGGAACCUUUUGGGUUCCCUGGUGAUAUCUAAUCUUUGCAAUCUAGAAUCAGAAUCCUUAAAGUUUUGUUUAUUUUGAUUAGAACUUAAUGGAUAUCAGCUCAUAUUGAAUAAAAUUUGAAAACUAAAUCAGUAUUGACCUU
Molecule: unclassified non-coding RNA, 597 nt
Filed under: Hevea brasiliensis (rubber tree)
Lineage: Eukaryota; Viridiplantae; Streptophyta; Magnoliopsida; Malpighiales; Euphorbiaceae
Source: RNAcentral